This 255-nucleotide ribosomal RNA is filed under the name uncultured bacterium. RNAcentral describes it as "partial 16S ribosomal RNA". It matches the Rfam family "Bacterial small subunit ribosomal RNA", at positions 524 to 776 of the family's 1533-position model. The record is from RNAcentral.
UACAGGAGGGGUCUAGCGUUGUCCGGAAUUACUGGGCGUAAAGCGUGCGUAGGUGGUUUGUUAAGUCAGGGGUGAAAUCCUGGAGCUCAACUCCAGAACUGCCUUCGAUACUGGCGAUCUUGAGUCCGGAAGAGGUGAGUGGAACUCCUAGUGUAGAGGUGGAAUUCGUAGAUAUUAGGAAGAACACCAGUGGCGAAGGCGGCUCACUGGUCCGGUACUGACGCUGAGGUGGCGAAAGCGUGGGGAGCAAACAGG